AUGAAUGGGCGGGCCUUGAUCCCACAAAAAAAUUAAUUAACAG
Molecule: transfer RNA, 43 nt
Filed under: Anolis sagrei (brown anole)
Lineage: Eukaryota; Metazoa; Chordata; Lepidosauria; Squamata; Anolidae
Description: partial tRNA-Asx
Source: RNAcentral